CCUACGGGAGGCAGCAGUGGGGAAUAUUGGGCAAUGGGCGCAAGCCUGACCCAGCAACGCCGCGUGAAGGAAGAAGGCUUUCGGGUUGUAAACUUCUUUUGUCAGGGAAGAGUAGAAGACGGUACCUGACGAAUAAGCCACGGCUAACUACGUGCCAGCAGCCGCGGUAAUACGUAGGUGGCAAGCGUUGUCCGGAUUUACUGGGUGUAAAGGGCGUGUAGCCGGGUUGACAAGUCAGAUGUGAAAUCCUGCGGCUUAACCGCAGAACUGCAUUUGAAACUGUUGGUCUUGAGUACUGGAGAGGCGGACGGAAUUCCUAGUGUAGCGGUGAAAUGCGUAGAUAUUAGGAGGAACACCAGUGGCGAAGGCGGUCUGCUGGACAGCAACUGACAGUGAGGCGCGAAAGCGUGGGGAGCAAACAGGAUUAGAUACCCGAGUAGUC
RNAcentral lists this ribosomal RNA (442 nucleotides) under uncultured bacterium. RNAcentral's name for it is "partial 16S ribosomal RNA". It matches the Rfam family "Bacterial small subunit ribosomal RNA", at positions 338 to 795 of the family's 1533-position model. The record is from RNAcentral.